Molecule: non-coding RNA, 552 nt
Organism: Paramuricea clavata
Lineage: Eukaryota; Metazoa; Cnidaria; Anthozoa; Malacalcyonacea; Plexauridae
Source: the annotation of a GenBank genome assembly
CUUUAAUGUGAACCAGCCUCACGCAGGAGCAAAUGCAUGCUGGGGAAAACGUCCUAACUACGACACUUGCAUUCAUGGCCAGAGGAGUCCAAUCUGCGUUGGAACAGGCAAACACGGGUACAUCUACGAACUUAGUCGGGUACGUUUUUCAGCUUUUGUACUCAUCCACAAACACUCAGAUAUUGUGUAUAGCCUGUAACUCGUCUUGAUGAAAACGUCGCAACAUGAUAUACAUUCACCUCCCGGAGGUCCGCAAUUUGGAAUAUUAUAAGGCGGUGAAUGUUUCUCGUGCAGUGGCUACGCCAAAAUCAUAGGAAAAACCAAAAAGUCGGUCUUUUGUUUGUCUCUGUUUUGUGGCAAUGGUUUGAUUCAGUGGUUGUAUUUGGAGGACCUGAUCGCAGGUUGCUAAACAUCUUUCCUUACUUUUUUCUAGGUGUAAACUUUGCCCACGAUUUUGAAGCACUCACUCAAGCAAAGAAAUUAAGACGAUUUAAUUGCACUUAGGGGUUACAUAGAUGUGUUUGUUUGUGAAUAAAUACAAAUAAAAAAGCC